AGUUUGAUCAUGGCUCAGGACGAACGCUGGCGGCGUGCUUAACACAUGCAAGUCGAACGGAAAGGCCCCUGCUUGCAGGGGUACUCGAGUGGCGAACGGGUGAGUAACACGUGGGUGAUCUGCCCUUCACUUCGGGAUAAGCCUGGGAAACUGGGUCUAAUACCGGAUAGGACCAAUCUUUAGUGUGGUUGGUGGAAAGUUUUUUCGGUGGAGGAUGAGCCCGCGGCCUAUCAGCUUGUUGGUGGGGUAAUGGCCUACCAAGGCGACGACGGGUAGCCGGCCUGAGAGGGUGGACGGCCACAUUGGGACUGAGACACGGCCCAGACUCCUACGGGAGGCAGCAGUGGGGAAUAUUGCACAAUGGGCGGAAGCCUGAUGCAGCGACGCCGCGUGAGGGAUGACGGCCUUCGGGUUGUAAACCUCUUUCGCUAGGGAAGAAGCCUUCGGGUGACGGUACCUGGAUAAGAAGCAC
This 472-nucleotide ribosomal RNA is filed under the name Corynebacterium urealyticum. Its description in RNAcentral is "bacterial SSU rRNA". It matches the Rfam family "Bacterial small subunit ribosomal RNA", at positions 10 to 493 of the family's 1533-position model. The record is from RNAcentral. Lineage: Bacteria; Bacillati; Actinomycetota; Actinomycetes; Mycobacteriales; Corynebacteriaceae.